This 332-nucleotide ribosomal RNA is filed under the name uncultured bacterium. Its description in RNAcentral is "bacterial SSU rRNA". It matches the Rfam family "Bacterial small subunit ribosomal RNA", at positions 568 to 898 of the family's 1533-position model. The record is from RNAcentral.
CGUGUAGGCGGUUAUGUAAGUCAGAUGUGAAAGUCUUCCGCUUAACGGAAGAAGUGCACUUGAAACUACAUGACUGGAGUACGGGAGAGGAGAGUGGAAUUCCCGGUGUAGAGGUGAAAUUCGUAGAUAUCGGGAGGAACACCAGUGGCGAAGGCGGCUCUCUGGCCUGAUACUGACGCUGAGACGCGAAAGCGUGGGGAGCAAACAGGAUUAGAUACCCUGGUAGUCCACGCCGUAAACGAUGGGCACUAGGUGUAGGAGGUAUUGACCCCUUCUGUGCCGAAGCUAACGCAUUAAGUGCCCCGCCUGGGGAGUACGGCCGCAAGGUUAAA